GAUACGGGACUGGCGGAUAUGUGGGUAUACCACGGGGGACCGUAUCAUGGAAUGUGCGGCUCCUUGUGCCCGCAUUUCCCUCAGCAAUCGCCGACCGCCUGGGCACG
Molecule: non-coding RNA, 107 nt
Filed under: bovine gut metagenome
Description: ZMP/ZTP riboswitch
Rfam family: ZMP/ZTP riboswitch aptamer (pfl RNA motif)
About the family: Previously known as pfl RNA. ZMP is also known as AICAR.
Source: RNAcentral